Molecule: ribosomal RNA, 339 nt
Filed under: uncultured bacterium
Lineage: Bacteria
Description: bacterial SSU rRNA
Rfam family: Bacterial small subunit ribosomal RNA
Source: RNAcentral
GACGAACGCUGGCGGCGUGCCUAAUACAUGCAAGUCGAGCGAGCUUGCCUAGAUGAUUUUAGUGCUUGCACUAAAUGAAACUAGAUACAAGCGAGCGGCGGACGGGUGAGUAACACGUGGGUAACCUGCCCAAGAGACUGGGAUAACACCUGGAAACAGAUGCUAAUACCGGAUAACAACACUAGACGCAUGUCUAGAGUUUGAAAGAUGGUUCUGCUAUCACUCUUGGAUGGACCUGCGGUGCAUUAGCUAGUUGGUAAGGUAACGGCCCACCAAGCCUUCGAUGGAUAGGGGUUCUGAGAGGAGGGUCCCCCACAUUGGAACUGAGACACGGUCCAA